RNAcentral lists this ribosomal RNA (197 nucleotides) under uncultured bacterium. RNAcentral describes it as "partial 16S ribosomal RNA". It matches the Rfam family "Bacterial small subunit ribosomal RNA", at positions 335 to 524 of the family's 1533-position model. The record is from RNAcentral.
ACUCCUACGGGAGGCAGCAGUGGGGAAUUUUGGACAAUGGGGGAAACCCUGAUCCAGCCAUGCCGCGUGAGUGAAGAAGGCCUUCGGGUUGUAAAGCUCUUUCAGCCGGGAAGAAAACGCACUCUCUAACAUAGGGUGUGGAUGACGGUACCGGAAGAAGAAGCACCGGCUAACUACGUGCCAGCAGCCGCGGUAAU